RNAcentral lists this ribosomal RNA (119 nucleotides) under Piliocolobus tephrosceles (Ugandan red Colobus). Lineage: Eukaryota; Metazoa; Chordata; Mammalia; Primates; Cercopithecidae. The record is from RNAcentral.
AUCUGCAGCCAUACCACCCUGAACGUGCCCGAUCUCCUCUGAUCUCGGAAGCUUAGCAGGAUCGGGCCUCUUUAGUGCUUGGAUGGGAGACCGCCUGGGAAUACCAGGUGUUGUAGUCU